GUGCCAGCCGCCGCGGUAACACGUAGGAUCCGAGCGUUAUCCGAAUUCACUGGGCGUAAAGCGCUUGCAGGCGGCGAGGUAAGUUGGAUGUAAAAUCUUCUGGCUCAACUGGGAGAUGCCGUUCAAGACUGCCUGGCUAGAGGGCGAUAGAGGGAGGUGGAAUUCCCGGUGUAGUGGUGAAAUGCGUAGAUAUCGGGAGGAACACCAGAGGCGAAAGCGGCCUCCUGGAUCGCACCUGACGCUGAGAAGCGAAAGCUAGGGGAGCAAACGGGAUUAGAUACCCCUGUAGUCC
Molecule: ribosomal RNA, 292 nt
Filed under: uncultured bacterium
Lineage: Bacteria
Description: partial 16S ribosomal RNA
Rfam family: Bacterial small subunit ribosomal RNA
Source: RNAcentral